UCCCUUGUGGCUCAGGUGGUAGAGCAUCUGCCUGCAAUAUGGGAGAUCCAGGUUCGAUUCCUGUUUUGGGAA
Molecule: transfer RNA, 72 nt
Filed under: Bos taurus (domestic cattle)
Lineage: Eukaryota; Metazoa; Chordata; Mammalia; Artiodactyla; Bovidae
Also listed under: 4 other names
Rfam family: tRNA
About the family: Transfer RNA (tRNA) molecules are approximately 80 nucleotides in length. Their secondary structure includes four short double-helical elements and three loops (D, anti-codon, and T loops).
Source: Rfam by way of RNAcentral